This is a long non-coding RNA of Sapajus apella (tufted capuchin), 366 nucleotides long. RefSeq lists it as uncharacterized. NCBI's taxonomy places the organism in Eukaryota, Metazoa, Chordata, Mammalia, Primates, Cebidae. The transcript has 2 exons. The record is from RefSeq and is a predicted model, not a curated record.
CUUCUUCUACCACUUGACUGCACUGAAGUCUUUGUGAAUCUGCUAUGAUUGUGGGGGCUGUCUGAUUUGUGAACAUUUCAUUGCUCAACAAAACUCCUUUAAAAUUAACGGGGCUGAAGUUUUUCUUUUAUCAGUAUGUAGGUGACAAUUUUUAAAUAGACGACAGAAAAAUCUCCAAUAAAAAUUAAGGAAUAGCUUUGUUAACAUGGAUUUACAGAUUCCUGUAAGACUUCCAAAACAUUUUAAAAUCAUAACCACCUUUUCUGAGGAUCCAGCAAGAUGGCAGAGGUAGAGCAGAAGAAAAAGCGGACCUUCCGCAAGUUCACUUACCGCAGCGUGGACCUGGACAGGUGAUGGACAUAUUCU